Molecule: ribosomal RNA, 494 nt
Filed under: uncultured bacterium
Lineage: Bacteria
Description: bacterial SSU rRNA
Rfam family: Bacterial small subunit ribosomal RNA
Source: RNAcentral
GAUGAACGCUAGCGGGAGGCCUAAUACAUGCAAGUCGAGCGGUAGAGUGACUUCGGUUGCUUGAGAGCGGCGCACGGGUGAGUAACGCGUACAUGACCUACCUUUAAGACUGGGAUAGCCCUGGGAAACUGGGAUUAAUACCGGAUGUGAUAAUACGUAUAGCGAUGUAUUAUUAAAGUUGAGGCGCUUAGAGAUGGAUGUGCGUCUGAUUAGCUAGUUGGUAGGGUAACGGCCUACCAAGGCUACGAUCAGUAGGGGGCGUGAGAGCGUGGCCCCCCACACGGGUACUGAGACACGGACCCGACUCCUACGGGAGGCAGCAGUAAGGAAUAUUGGUCAAUGGACGGAAGUCUGAACCAGCCAUCCCGCGUGCAGGAUGACUGCCCUAUGGGUUGUAAACUGCUUUUAGCAGAGACGAAACGCCUUCAUUUAUGAGGGUCUGACGGUAUCUGCAGAAUAAGCACCGGCUAACUCCGUGCCAGCAGCCGCGGUAA